CGGCUCUGAGCGCACACGUCUGCGCGGGCGUGCUGGGCUGGGACCGCCGCGCCGCCCCCGCGGAGCCGCGAUCGCGAGCGAUGCCCCUCCCCACAUGAGUCCUCGCCGCAGGGGUCGUCACAGCAGGGCCCAGAGGAAGGAGCUCACCUCAGCUGGAGAUACACUGGAGAUGUCAGUAUCUGGAGCAGUCGACUGAAGCAACGGGCCAAAAGUGAAGGAAACAAAGGAUAUUGCAGCCAUCAGCCACCACAGCCCCCCCCCCCCCGCCGAAGGUGAGCCCUGAGGGAACUCGGGAUGCAGACAAACAGGAUGCCCACUGCCACGCCCUCAGUCACGGCAGCCACCCUCAACGGAGCACCCUGAGGAGACUCAGGAUGAGAAAGCACAGGGUACUGGCCCGAGAGAGCUGAUGAACACAUCAAAGGAGUGAUUCCAAUGAGCCCAGACUCUUGCAUCGUCCCAUGCAUAAAAAAGUGCUAAAUUCUUUAACUUGAGAUGUCUGGAUUUGUUUAAUGAACGGUAAUCUUUUGAUGCCCUGACUACCUGGUCUUUGUUGCAAAAACUACAUAUCCUGGCCCCUCCCUGACUGCUUUGGAGCAGAACUGCAGAGCUCUCUGUGAAGCUGUCUUUUGGACCUGAAGUCCUCAGAAAGUCCACCAAA
Long non-coding RNA from Physeter macrocephalus (sperm whale), 661 nucleotides. RefSeq lists it as uncharacterized. The record is from RefSeq and is a predicted model, not a curated record. NCBI's taxonomy places the organism in Eukaryota, Metazoa, Chordata, Mammalia, Artiodactyla, Physeteridae. The transcript has 3 exons.